GACGAACGCUGGCGGCGUGCUUAACACAUGCAAGUCGAACGGAAAGGCCCUGCUUUUGUGGGGUGCUCGAGUGGCGAACGGGUGAGUAACCCGUGAGUAACCUGCCCUUUACUUUGGGAUAACUUCAGGAAACUGGGGCUAAUACCGGAUAGGAGCUCCUGCUGCAUGGUGGGGGUUGGAAAGUUUCGGCGGUUGGGGAUGGACUCGCGGCUUAUCAGCUUGUUGGUGGGGUAGUGGCUUACCAAGGCUUUGACGGGUAGCCGGCCUGAGAGGGUGACCGGGCACAUGGGGACUGAGAUACGGCCCAGACGCCUACGGGAGGCAGCGGUGGGGAAUAUGGCACAAUGGGCGGAAGCCUGAGGCAGCAACGCCGCGUGCGGGAUGACGGCCUUCGGGUUGUAAACCGCUGUCGCCUGUGACGAAGCGUGAGUGACGGUAAUGGGUAAAGAAGCACCGGCUAACUACGUG
This 468-nucleotide ribosomal RNA is filed under the name uncultured bacterium. RNAcentral describes it as "partial 16S ribosomal RNA". It matches the Rfam family "Bacterial small subunit ribosomal RNA", at positions 28 to 507 of the family's 1533-position model. The record is from RNAcentral.